Molecule: long non-coding RNA, 1160 nt
Organism: Panicum virgatum (switchgrass)
Lineage: Eukaryota; Viridiplantae; Streptophyta; Magnoliopsida; Poales; Poaceae
Exons: 2
Source: RefSeq, a predicted model, not a curated record
UCCUUUCCACGGGGAAACACGCCCCACCUCGACAGGUCGGGGAGCAAUCCCCCGUCUUCUCCCGAGUCUCGAGCUCUCCGUGUUGCUCGCGAGAUGCGACGAACGGCUGCCGCCGCGAACGGCCGACCUUCUUCCCCACCUCCAUCGUCCCCUCCUCCACAGCUGUUGCUUCCACAUCUCCACACCUUUGCCUUCAUGGCCGCCACUACUUCCACGCCGUCGGCGUCUCCGUCUCCGUCUUCGUGGCCACCGGCACCUCACCUCCAAACUGUGGCUCAGCAUCUAUCUAGUCCUCCGACACCAUCUUUCGAUUGCUGAAGGCAUCUCCUCCCUUCCACAGACACUGGAGGUUUGUUCACACGGCUGAAACCUGUAGCGUCUGUUUUAUAUGCUAAUUCCGAUGACCAGGUAUAGAUUUUUAGAGCUUUUGCUUGCUGAAACAGUUAGCUGUAGCGCCUGUUCUAUAUGCUAAUUCUCGUGACCAGGUACAAAUUUUUAGAGUUUUUGGUACAAAUUUUUAGAGUUUUUGAUUGGGAGUCCUAGAAAUCAGUCUCUCUCUUGUCUUCCACUGGUAAAAAGCUAUGCAGUUCAGAAAUUCAGAUACAGCAUAGCACUGGACUGAAUUUCAUAGUCAAGUAGUAUUGGACCUAAUCUAAGUUCCAUUGUUGGAAUCCAAUCUGUGAAUUGCUCUAUACCUGCAAUGUCAUAGUGUAUUUAAAUAAGAAAUGUUUCAUUCUUUAUGUAGGCAGAUGCAAUGGUCCGACAAAACCACAUUAGCCGAUAGUAGUGACCAAUAAGGAAAUAACAGUCACCUUUUCAAUGCAAUUCAAUCUUUUUGGAACAGGUUUUCUGCCACCAAGCUGAACAAAGCAAGGAUAGGGUUACCAAUAAAGAUCCUAUUCUUUCUGAUUGGAUUUUAUUCACUACACAGCUACUACAUGAUCACUACCUUGAUCUUUUAAUAUGAUUAAUUACUUAGCCCUUGCUCUAUUUGAUUUAGUCUCUCCCUCUGGCUUAGAGUUCUACAUGUAAACCAAACCGAGGUAGUUGAUGAAUUCUAUUAUGUUAGAGUAGUUUAGUUGAUGAAACAGUUAUGCAGAAAAUGGAACCUGUAAGAAUCUUUACCUUUUAAUGGAGUCUGAGUUUUCAGUUUGAUUUCA